UAGUAUAGGAUGGAAGACUAGAAGAAUCUUAAGUGUCGUAUGAUAAAGCGAAAAGUGUGCACAUGUACAAUAACACUAAGGGGAAACUCAUAAAGACCCCCAGAGAUGAUGGUGGGGGUAAAAUGAAGCAUAUGAACUGAAACAUCUAAGUAAUGUGUAUAAAUAAAUUGAACGAGAUUGCGUGAAUAGUGGCGAGCAAAAACGGAAGAACCGGACGAGCUAGAUACCCCGUCAGGAGGGCACCUCCCUGUGGGAUCUAAAGAAUAGACGAGGGUUUCUUGAUGCCCCCCGUGACCGAGCUACUGUGACCCGUCACGGGCAAUGCUACACGGGCAAUGUUAUCUUUUGACGGCAAGAGCCCGCCUACCGGGAUCGAGAGCUGAAUGAUAAGAGAUUGGAAGAACAGAUGGGGAAAGGAUCCUGUAAGUUGGCGUAGCACACAGUAUCGUAGUAUCCGUACUCCCUACGAGAGGGAAGUGGAUGGUAGCGUACUCGGUGGAGAACGGAAGCCCUCCUACACUGGUGGAGGGUAUUCCUUGGUGUCCCUCCUACGCUCCCCCCUAGUGGAGGUGGGUGCCACCUACAUUUGUGAGGGCUCACACUCGAGUGGUGGAGGGUAGCCACACUCCUACACUGCCCCCUUUGGGGGGUGUACCCUCAAGGAGCUACGAUGGCUCAGACAUCAAAAGGCAGAAGAGAACACGUGAAAUUUUCUUUGAAUAACGGUGAACUCCAUCGAAGAUUAACGAAAGUACUUUAUCGAUAGCGAACGAGUACUGUGAAGGAAAGUCUGAAAAAGAACCACUAAGUGAAGUGACAUAAAUCAAGAAAUCCGGUGUGAAAUUACAGUUAAAGUUGAAAGAAACAACAACGUACCUAUUGCAUAAAUGGUCAGCGAGUAUAAAGGAAUAGCUAGUUUGCCCGGUCCUAAGGAUACUAUAUAAAUUAGAGUAGCGAAAGCAAGUUUGAAGGAGUGUAAGUGAAUUUUUUAUGAUCCGAAAGGGAAGUGGAUUUGGCCGUGGUCAGCCCAGAUAGUUUAUCGAAAAUUGGAAGGGCGAACUCGGAAGAGUUGUAACGCUAUGAGAUGAACUGCAGCUAGUAGGUGAAAUGCCAAUCGACAUAUAUAUAUAUAUAUAUAUAUAUACAUAUGCAUAUACAUAUAUAUAUAUAUAUAUAUAUAUAUAUAUAUGUAUAUAUCUAUAUAUAUAUAUAUAUCAUUACGAGAAUGGCAAUGAUUAAACUAGGGGUCUUUGUCCAAAGAUUACUAACUUUAAUUAAACUCAGAAUAAGAACGAAGAAGGAGAUUGUACAGGCUAUUGGUGAUACGGUUGAUAGUCAAAAAAUAGAAAGCCUAAAUCAGUACUUAAUGUCACAAAGAGUAGUGGUCAACCCCGGUGGCCGAUCUCUAGGAGUGUAAACUAUACUGUACUUCACUCCCUUGAGGUUGACCACCGGAGUGACCGAGAUAGUAAAGUGCUUAAGAUUGUGAAAAAUCAUUGCCAACAAGCUUGCUUCCCGAUGCUAUUGCAUACGUUACCGCAUAGUAGUAUUCGUCAAUGGGGAUGCGUCGAAUUUCCCAUCCUUCUCUCAUCAUUGACAACAUCUUUGACUCUUUAGAAUUUCGAGAAUUCUGCUAGAUUUACUUCGUUAAAAGGAUGUCUUUUACCUUGUUAAAGCGCCUUCUAUGUCCCUGACAGAUCUGGUCCAUGAUUGCUCAAUUAAAUGCUCGACAUGUUUCUUUUGAGUGUUUUGAAACCUCACCCAUGUACAUUUCAAUACGAUGUUGCAUCGUAGCAGCAUGGUUAUAAAUGAUUGUGAAUUUUUAACGAUCUCUUGCUCGAGAAUAAUAUUGAAUAUAAGCUGCGUUAUAUUAGUUUGUUUCUGGGAGAAACCCCUCCCUACGAUCAGGAAUAACCGAUAGUGAUGCAACUAGCGACUGUAAAGCCUGGUAAUGCACUCUCUUAGAGGCAAUAGUAAUAGUACUCUUUGACUGAGAAGUUGUAGCUACCUUAGGAUCACUUGAGGGACCUGAUAAAGGUACUUGAGGCGCUAGUGAAACAUUUGAAUGCCCACUAUGUUCUUGUGAACUCUCACUAGGCUGAGGUUGUUGAAAAUCUUUAGACUUUCAGCAUAUUCUUCAUGAUCUAAAACUCGGCAAAUUAAUCCCGUAAGUUAGAAAUAAGGGAGAGCCAGAUGUUGAAGAUGAGAGUAUACGACGUCCGCUUGCGGCGCUUGCAGGUCCUGCGGAGAUGUACGCUACGAUCCUGUAUCUAUCAUCCUCCGCUCGAGGGAUUGCCCUUCGAGUGACUCAGGGAUCUACUAAUAUCUACCUAACAUAGAAUAACGAGCACCAGCUAAAUCCGGUAAUCUGCAAAAAUGAAGAUUGAAGUAUAGAAUAUGACGUUUACCCGAUGAUAGCAUCUAAAAAAAGUGAUUGUGCCUCUCCUAUAAAGACUAUUCAGUGUUAACAAAAUUCCUUGACUGAUAAUUGUAGUCGUGCAUGAAUAGUGCAACGAACGUUCUACUUUAUCAAAGAUCAAGUCGACGAAAUUG
This 2553-nucleotide non-coding RNA is filed under the name Sphaeroforma arctica JP610. RNAcentral describes it as "Bacterial large subunit ribosomal RNA". The stretch from base 1 to 1596 matches the Rfam family "Bacterial large subunit ribosomal RNA", at positions 15 to 2044 of the family's 2925-position model. Lineage: Eukaryota; Ichthyosporea; Ichthyophonida. The record is from Rfam by way of RNAcentral.